GGGGCUUGGUAUUAAAUGUUUAACAGCCGUGGUGGGUUUGAUCCCACAUUGCUGAGAAAAUUAGUCACUGCAGGUUCAGGUGAGGAAUUUCUGGACAGGCCUCAACAAUCUGCUUCUAACUGGGGGAUGGGAGUUUUCAUUUAAGAAUCCCAAAGGCACUGUCAUACAGAGGAGGGAGCACUAGACAAGGAGUCUUGGUUCCUGGAUUCAACACAUUUAUUCCUCCAUGUGUCUGGCAUCGUGCUAAUCCUGGCUCCUUCCUGUGAGGCUACAGCUGUGUGAUUUUGGAGUGAUUCUGAAGAGGGAAGCCAAGCCCGAGCUUCAUUGCUGGAGGUGCGGCCUUGGGGAGCGGUGGCCUGUUCUGCAUGGUGAGACAAACCUCCUGUUCCUGUGCGUGAAGGACUGAGAAGUCUGUUCAGUUGUUUAUGCCCAGUGUCUGACAUGCAGGCAGCUCUGUGCAGCACUCUCACCGACCUGCUCUUUUAGGUAACCUGCUUUCUCUGUCUGGAUACCCGCAAAAGUUUUUCUUUAUCCCUGAAAUUUGAAAAGUCACCAGGAUGUGCCCAGGUGCUGCUUUCUUCUCAUUGAACUUUACGGGUAUCCUGUGAGCUUUCUUCAUUUGCUGCCCUCCCAGAUGGCUUAAUAGCGUGACUUGGCUCCACUCCUGCCCACGGAAACAUGCCUGGACUAUCAACUAGACUGUACCAUAAGGGAGUGUAAAUGUCGAGUGAGGUUUCAUGCCAAAAUGCUCGUGUCAGCUGCAUUUGGAGAAAGUAUUUUUGAUGGCAGCAGCAAAGAAGACUUUAGCCUUCACGAGAUUCUAUUAUUUCCUAAGGAAAAACUGUCAUGUAUUAUCUGUGUAAGUAUAAUUUAUCCAGAUUUUUUACAUAUUUUGUCUGAUUGGUG
RNAcentral lists this long non-coding RNA (906 nucleotides) under Heterocephalus glaber (naked mole-rat). RNAcentral's name for it is "lncRNA (ENSHGLG00000045553.1)". Lineage: Eukaryota; Metazoa; Chordata; Mammalia; Rodentia; Bathyergidae. The record is from RNAcentral.